Molecule: ribosomal RNA, 728 nt
Filed under: Nanobdellota archaeon
Lineage: Archaea; Nanobdellati; Nanobdellota
Description: bacterial SSU rRNA
Rfam family: Archaeal small subunit ribosomal RNA
Source: RNAcentral
AUUCACGUUGAUCCUGCGUGAGAUUUCCGCUAGAAGGGUUGGAUUAAGCCAUGAAAGUGUGUUAACUUCGUGUUGACCGCAGAAGGCUGAGUAACACGUCAUUAAUCUGCCUUAUGGUCUCUAAUAAUCUCGAGAAAUUGAGUGUAAAGGGGAUAGUUAUUCUAUACUGGAAUGUUUGAAUAAUCAACAUAAGAUGAGAUGGCGGCCGAUUAGAUUGUUGGUGAGGUAAUGGCUCACCAAGUCUAAGAUCGGUAGGGGUCGUGAGAGCGAUGACCUCCAGAAGGACACUGAGAUAAGGGUCCUAGUCCUAAGGGGUGCAGCAGGCGCGAAAACUCUACAAUGCACGCAAGUGUGAUAGGGCAACCCUUCGUGCUUACCUAACGGUAGGCUUUUGUAAGGCUUAGUUCGUCUUACGAAUAAGUGGUGGGCAAGACCGGUGCCAGCAGCCGCGGUAAUACCGGCGCCACAAGUGGAGAUCAUGCUUAUUGGGUCUAAAGUGUUCGUAGCUGGUUGUCUAAGUCUCUUGUGAAAGUUCUGUAGCUUAACUCAGAAAUUGCAAGAGAUACUGGAUGACUUGAGACAGGAAGAGGUGCAAGGUAUUGAUUGGGUAGCGGUAAAAUGUUAUAAUCCUUUCAAGACCAACUAAGGCGAAGGCAUUGCACUUGGACUGAUCUGACAGUGAGGAACGAGAGCUGGGGUAGCGAACCGGAUUAGAUACCCGGGUAGUC